This 56-nucleotide ribosomal RNA is filed under the name Fusarium solani. Its description in RNAcentral is "partial 28S ribosomal RNA". The record is from RNAcentral. Lineage: Eukaryota; Fungi; Ascomycota; Sordariomycetes; Hypocreales; Nectriaceae.
GACCUCGAAUCAGGUAGGAAUACCCGCUGAACUUAAGCAUAUCAAAAGCGGAGGAA